This 259-nucleotide ribosomal RNA is filed under the name uncultured bacterium. RNAcentral describes it as "partial small subunit ribosomal RNA". It matches the Rfam family "Bacterial small subunit ribosomal RNA", at positions 26 to 286 of the family's 1533-position model. The record is from RNAcentral.
AGGACGAACGCUGGCGGCGUGCUUAACACAUGCAAGUCGAGCGAGGCCCUUCCUUCGGGAAGGUGCCCUAGCGGCGAACGGGUGAGUAACACGUGGGCAACCUGCCCCUAGCACUGGGAUAACCCCGGGAAACCGGGGCUAAUACCGGAUACGACCUCCGAGGGCAUCCUUGGUGGUGGAAAAGAUUCUGGCUAGGGAUGGGCCCGCGGCCUAUCAGCUUGUUGGUGGGGUAAUGGCCUACCAAGGCGACGACGGGUAG